This 545-nucleotide long non-coding RNA is filed under the name Felis catus (domestic cat). RNAcentral's name for it is "lncRNA (ENSFCAG00000050486.1)". Lineage: Eukaryota; Metazoa; Chordata; Mammalia; Carnivora; Felidae. The record is from RNAcentral.
GCAGGGGUGGGGACAGAGAGAGAGGGAAACACAGAAUACGAAGCAGGCUCCAGGCUCUGAGCUGUCAGCACAGAGCCCGACGUGGGGCUCGAACUCAUGGACUGUGAGAUCAUGACCCGAGCCGAAGUCGGACGCACAACCGACUGAGCCGCCCAAGCACCCCUCAAAAUGCCAUUUUAAAAAAUUCUAUUACAUCGACUAAAACUGCUUCCAAUUUUUUUUUUCUGCAUUCUCCAGGAACACUGAUUUUAAUGAACCAACCCACAAGCGUUGCGUAAUUUGAAAGUUGUGGCCCCUGAAUGAGCGCUUCCAGGGAGAAGCUACUAGAAGCCCUGGCUAAUCAGACACCUGCCUGCCUGCAUUCCAGCUAAUGAUCACAAACCAAAGGCAGAGGGAGCACAGGGACCAAGGAGGCCUCACACAUAAAUGGCGCACCUGGAUCCCUGACAGACUUCAGGGAAUUUUGGAAUAAGCAUCUGAAACAAAGGUGAGUUGCAUUAAGCUAUUGAGAUUUGGGGCGUGUUUGUCACAGCAGCACAACCUAU